GUGGGGAAUAUUGGACAAUGGGCGAAAGCCUGAUCCAGCCAUGCCGCGUGUGUGAAGAAGGUCUUCGGAUUGUAAAGCACUUUAAGUUGGGAGGAAGGGCAGUAAGUUAAUACCUUGCUGUUUUGACGUUACCGACAGAAUAAGCACCGGCUAACUUCGUGCCAGCAGCCGCGGUAAUACGAAGGGUGCAAGCGUUAAUCGGAAUUACUGGGCGUAAAGCGCUCGUAGGUGGUUUUGUAAGUUGGAGGUGAAAUCCCCGGGCUCAACCUGGGAAAUGACUCCAAAACUGCAUGACUAGAGUACGGUAGAGGGUAGUGGAAUUUCCUGUGUAGCGGUGAAAUGCGUAGAUAUAGGAAGGAACACCAGUGGCGAAGGCGACUACCUGGACUGAUACUGACACUGAGGUGCGAAAGCGUGGGGAGCAAACAGGAUUAGAUACCCGGGUACC
Molecule: ribosomal RNA, 448 nt
Filed under: uncultured bacterium
Lineage: Bacteria
Description: bacterial SSU rRNA
Rfam family: Bacterial small subunit ribosomal RNA
Source: RNAcentral